This 246-nucleotide unclassified non-coding RNA is filed under the name Hevea brasiliensis (rubber tree). Lineage: Eukaryota; Viridiplantae; Streptophyta; Magnoliopsida; Malpighiales; Euphorbiaceae. The record is from RNAcentral.
GGUUUUCUUCAUGUCGAUAUUGGGAAUGGGAAGAUUAAGUUUUUUCUUGAAGUCGCCUAUCUACGUAAUUAGAGUCGUAGUUGAAAGACUCGAGAUGGAAAUGGAUAAUUCAAAGAUUGAAGUGGAGAAUUUGAAGAUUGAAAUGAAGAACUUGAAGAUUGUUGUGGAAAAUUUGAAGAUAAAAGUAGCUCAUUUGUCUGAAAAAAUUGCUACAUUGCAGGCAUCGAAUUUGGUAGUGAAAAAAGU